Stomoxys calcitrans (stable fly) is the source of this 483-nucleotide long non-coding RNA. RefSeq lists it as uncharacterized. The record is from RefSeq and is a predicted model, not a curated record. NCBI's taxonomy places the organism in Eukaryota, Metazoa, Arthropoda, Insecta, Diptera, Muscidae. The transcript is spliced from 2 exons.
UUUAAAUGUAAAUAUUAAAAAUAUUACAGUAAGUCGCAAAAGCCGUUGCUUUUUUUUGCAUAAAGAUAAGGCUACAUCCUUGUGACGCAUUUAGUAGAAAUCCCAUACAAAAGUAGUUUUUUCUAAAAACCAAUAAUUAGGUUUUUUUUCAAAUUUCAAUGAUUCAUGUGUCAAGGCUUGACUAUUAUAGUAGAGUGAUUGUUUUGACAGAAAACUGAGACACGCCCAACAAAAUAACUACUCUGAUAAGAAAGUUUUGUCAUUAAUGUCACAUUCCGCUGCCCCGUAUCACCACUGUUGAUGAUUCAAAACCUAAAGAAUUGAAAGUGAAAUCUUGAACAGCUAACGAAUGUUGUUGCAUUUAGGACAAGCAUGUGUUUAAAUUUUGCAAUCAAGGCUUAAAUGCCAAUAACUAAUUAAUGAAGCUAUUAAGAGAAGUCAAAAAAAAAAUUUAUAUAAAAAAAAUAUAUAUUCUUAAAGGUG